AGAGUUUGAUCAUGGCUCAGGAUGAACGCUAGCGGCAGGCCUAACACAUGCAAGUCGAGGGGCAGCACGGGUAGCAAUACCUGGUGGCGACCGGCGCACGGGUGAGUAACGCGUAUGCAACCUACCCUUCACAGGGGGAUAGCCCGCCGAAAGGCGGAUUAAUACCCCAUGGCCCCAUUUGCCGGCAUCGGCGGAUGGGUAAAGGAGCGAUCCGGUGAAGGAUGGGCAUGCGUGCCAUUAGCUAGUUGGCGGGGUAACGGCCCACCAAGGCGACGAUGGCUCGGGGGUCUGAGAGGAUGGUCCCCCACACUGGUACUGAGACACGGACCAGACUCCUACGGGAGGCAGCAGUGAGGAAUAUUGGUCAAUGGGCGGAAGCCUGAACCAGCCAUGCCGCGUGCAGGAAGACGGCCCUACGGGUUGUAAACUGCUUUUCCGGGGGAAGAAUAAGGCCGACGUGUCGGACGAUGCCGGUACCCCGGGAAUAAGGAUCGGCUAACUCCGUGCCAGCAGCCGCGGUAAUACGGAGGAUCCGAGCGUUAUCCGGAUUUACUGGGUUUAAAGGGUGCGUAGGCGGGCGCUUAAGUCA
RNAcentral lists this ribosomal RNA (589 nucleotides) under uncultured bacterium. RNAcentral describes it as "bacterial SSU rRNA". It matches the Rfam family "Bacterial small subunit ribosomal RNA", at positions 8 to 590 of the family's 1533-position model. The record is from RNAcentral.